Molecule: small RNA, 169 nt
Filed under: Klebsiella pneumoniae
Lineage: Bacteria; Pseudomonadati; Pseudomonadota; Gammaproteobacteria; Enterobacterales; Enterobacteriaceae
Description: RtT sRNA
Rfam family: tRNA (bases 1-66)
Source: RNAcentral
UAGCUCAGUUGGUAGAGCAGUUGACUUUUAAUCAAUUGGUCGCAGGUUCGAAUCCUGCACGACCCACCAAUUUCAGCAUUUAACCCAGAUGCUGAACGUGAAGGAUAACGUUGCGACAGCAACGGCCCGUAGGGCGAGGCGAAGUCGAGUCAUCCUGCACGACCCACCA